Molecule: ribosomal RNA, 253 nt
Filed under: uncultured bacterium
Lineage: Bacteria
Description: partial 16S ribosomal RNA
Rfam family: Bacterial small subunit ribosomal RNA
Source: RNAcentral
UACGGAGGUGGCAAGCGUUGUUCGGAAUUACUGGGCGUAAAGGGCGCGUAGGCGGCAAGGCAAGUCAGGUGUGAAAGCCCCGAGCUUAACUCGGGAAUUGCAUCUGAAACUGCUGUGCUUGAGUUCUGGAGGGGGUAGUGGAAUUCCCAGUGUAGCGGUGAAAUGCGUAGAUAUUGGGAGGAACACCUGCGGCGAAGGCGACUUCCUGGCCUGUUCUUGACGCUGAGGCGCGAAAGCUAGGGGAGCAAACGGG